CGACCCUGGAUUUUUCGCUAGCUUUAAUUCAUGUGUUUGUGUUUCGGCUUGAUCGAACCCAUCUAAAAUCUAGUUUUUCUGUCUAAUUCAUGUUCCAAUGUAUUUUUUUUAUGUCGAUUCGAAUCCAUGUUCGGAAUCUUUUUUUGUGUGAAUAUGUGAUUAUUUCGUUAUUCUAACCCUGGAUUGUACAUAGUUGGUCAAAUCUAACCCUGGCAAGAUGAAUGGCUCGCUGAGUAGAAGGUGUUGGCAUGUCACCUGACUUCAGGAACUUCCUAUGUAUGCCCAAACCUUGAGCCGCCCAAACCUCGAGCCAUAGUCACCUGGAUCUUCUACUGGUCUCUUUUCUUUCUCUUUUGAUUAGGUUCGGCCAACUCUAGUAGAGUAGUAGGCCUUAUCCAUCCAUGACACAGGCUCUUUUCUCUUGCGGAAAUAAGGUUUCUCCACACAUGAUCAACCGACAUAUCUAUGUACCACGCUCAAGGAUGAAUUAGGAUCGCCAUACCAGACGUUUUAUAUGUUUGUACUUUGUUUUUGUUUAGUUUUGCUGUCUAUUCAAUGUGGCACCAUGAUUACGAACUGGUCAAACACUCUUACUUCAUUCCCAAAGAUGAAGCCUGGGCUCGAUGGUCGAUGUUUGGAUCGAUGCACAUUGGUUUCCUUGUUCCUUUUUUUUGUUAGUAAUUUAAAAGGAUGCAUAGUGCCACUUGACUACCAUGAGUAGCACUUGAAAACAUGACCUUCUUUAUGUGUUCAGAUGUAUCUCAAUUGUUUUCAUGGGAUAAACCUAUAACUGAUGACAUAAUUUAUCUGUUCACAUACUUGUAAUAAGGAAAAAAAGAACAAUUCGGACAAGGUUGAGUCAUACCAAUGGGACCAUACAACACCCAUGGAUGGUCCUGGUUAUUUUCUUGCCUUUUUUCGGGUUUGUUGUUUCUUUUCUCUUCUGUUCAUGUCAAUUCGUCACAGAGUCCCUCAAAUUCUCAUAAGCUAAUCUGGACCAGUCAAUCUGUCCAAUCAUGUCCAUGUUCCUCGUGUACAUGGCUGCCUUCUCAUUGAGGUGCUGCUAGUGCAUGGCAGUAUAUACGAGCUUAUUACUACCAUAAAGAAGCAUAUGAGUUUAAGCUCGCGGUCUUCUUCCAUUUUUAAGGUUUUCAACAAAUUGCAAAAUGACAAUUUCUCUCAUUUUUUCAUCAUCUUUGCCAGCCUUCCCUCCCUUCCCAGUAUUCCCACCAACUUGUGCUUCCUUGGCAGCCAAUUGGUUAGUGUCAUUGCUGCUAUCAUUGUCUUUUUGAAUGUCAUCCUGCUUCUUCUUUUUUGUCAUUUUCAGCCGGUCUGAGUAUAUUGCGCAGCUCAUUGUAUUCUUUAUUUCUUUCCUUCAUGCUGAACGCUGCAGGAAUUACUCUAGCGUUGACUGGGAGACCCAAAACUUUAUGAACAACUCAUGGCGUGAUCCUCAGGUGUAUUCAGGACGUCCUCCUAACUACAUCUUGUGCCUGCAUUUUGCAUGGAUCCGGAGGUUGGGCGCGCCCUAUUUGCUUCAUUGUAGAUGAGCACAACUGCAGUUUUCUUCCGGUACAGCAAAACCAUUUCCUGUACUAAGGCAAACAAUAAGAAUUUCUGGGAUUUGUAAACAAUAAAAAUAAAAUAAAAAAUACAUCAAGCAAGCACUAACCUUAUCAUAACCAUAUAUUUCCUUUCUUUCAAAACCUUCAAUGUACAUCAGCACAUGGACCCCGCAAUGAAAGCCGCAAUAAUAGUUCAACAAUUAAAUUCCAUGUAGAUUGGUGAGCACAAAUCAUCUCGCAUUGCUUGCUAAAUUAGAUUAACGGUCAAUGACAAGCAGUUGGUAAGUCUCAGAAAAUGUGUGUAUAGUAUUGGCAUUUAUGAUUUGAUGAGCCCAAGCCACACCGGUCAGAAGACUGUGUAUCUCUGCUUGCUGAGCUUGACACAUUCAGCAACCAACGGGGCCAGCAAGUAAACAGGUCGAUGAUGAGGACUGACAUUGUCAUUCCAGACUCUAACGAAGCUCGGUGGGCUGCAUGAGAAGAACAUUCUACUUCUACCUGCACCAGAGUAGAUUUGAACCAAAGAUGCUGUUUUACAGGCAUGUUCUGGUGGUUGGGGCUGUUGGUACUGUAACCGUAAAGUUCUGGGAGCAGAAAAUACAGUCUGUAUAACAUAAGUAGGCGAGUAUCUAUGAUUGAAAUUGUAUAAAAUGGAUGCUAGCUUUUGAGUUGUAUAUAAUUUUGAUGGUGAGAAAUAGAGCCAUGUAGACAUAAUUGUAUGGUAAGAGAGACAGCACUAUCAUGAGUAACAAAUUCUAUGAUGAACUGUAGAUACUGUAGACCCUUUUCAAUUA
Long non-coding RNA from Panicum virgatum (switchgrass), 2359 nucleotides. RefSeq lists it as uncharacterized. The transcript is spliced from 2 exons. Lineage: Eukaryota; Viridiplantae; Streptophyta; Magnoliopsida; Poales; Poaceae. The record is from RefSeq and is a predicted model, not a curated record.